This 468-nucleotide ribosomal RNA is filed under the name uncultured bacterium. RNAcentral's name for it is "partial 16S ribosomal RNA". It matches the Rfam family "Bacterial small subunit ribosomal RNA", at positions 28 to 507 of the family's 1533-position model. The record is from RNAcentral.
GACGAACGCUGGCGGCGUGCUUAACACAUGCAAGUCGAACGGAAGGGCCCUGCUUUUGUGGGGUGCUCGAGUGGCGAACGGGUGAGUAACACGUGAGUAACCUGCCCUUGACUUUGGGAUAACUUCAGGAAACUGGGGCUAAUACCGGAUAGGAGCUCCUGCUGCAUGGUGGGGGUUGGAAAGUUUCGGCGGUUGGGGAUGGACUCGCGGCUUAUCAGCUUGUUGGUGGGGUAGUGGCUUACCAAGGCUUUGACGGGUAGCCGGCCUGAGAGGGUGACCGGCCACAUUGGGACUGAGAUACGGCCCAGACUCCUACGGGAGGCAGCAGUGGGGAAUAUUGCACAAUGGGCGGAAGCCUGAUGCAGCAACGCCGCGUGCGGGAUCACGGCCUUCGGGUUGUAAACCGCUUUCGCCUGUGACGAAGCGUGAGUGACGGUAAUGGGUAAAGAAGCACCGGCUAACUACGUG